This 73-nucleotide transfer RNA is filed under the name Klebsiella pneumoniae. RNAcentral describes it as "tRNA-Val". It matches the Rfam family "tRNA". From Rfam's summary of the family: Transfer RNA (tRNA) molecules are approximately 80 nucleotides in length. Their secondary structure includes four short double-helical elements and three loops (D, anti-codon, and T loops). Lineage: Bacteria; Pseudomonadati; Pseudomonadota; Gammaproteobacteria; Enterobacterales; Enterobacteriaceae. The record is from RNAcentral.
GGGUGAUUAGCUCAGCUGGGAGAGCACCUCCCUUACAAGGAGGGGGUCGGCGGUUCGAUCCCGUCAUCGCAGU